This 510-nucleotide ribosomal RNA is filed under the name uncultured bacterium. RNAcentral's name for it is "partial 16S ribosomal RNA". It matches the Rfam family "Bacterial small subunit ribosomal RNA", at positions 28 to 507 of the family's 1533-position model. The record is from RNAcentral.
GACGAACGCUGGCGGCGUGCUUAACACAUGCAAGUCGAACGAAGAGCGAUGGAAGCUUGCUUCUAUCAAUCUUAGUGGCGCACGGGUGAGUAACGCGUAAUCAACCUGCCCUUCAGAGGGGGACAACAGUUGGAAACGACUGCUAAUACCGCAUACGAUCUAACCUCGGCAUCGAGGAAAGAUGAAAGGUGGCCUCUAUGUAUAAGCUAUCACUGAAGGAGGGGAUUGCGUCUGAUUAGCUAGUUGGAGGGGUAACGGCCCACCAAGGCGAUGAUCAGUAGCCGGUCUGAGAGGAUGAACGGCCACAUUGGGACUGAGACACGGCCCAGACUCCUACGGGAGGCAGCAGUGGGGAAUCUUCCGCAAUGGACGAAAGUCUGACGGAGCAACGCCGCGUGAGUGAUGACGGCCUUCGGGUUGUAAAGCUCUGUUAAUCGGGACGAAAGGCCUUCUUGCGAAUAGGGAGAAGGAUUGACGGUACCGGAAUAGAAAGCCACGGCUAACUACGUG